CAGCAGCCACGGUAAUACGUAUGUCACAAGCGUUAUCCGGAUUUAUUGGGCGUAAAGCGCGUCUAGGUGGUUAUGUAAGUCUGAUGUGAAAAUGCAGAGCUCAACUCUGUAUUGCGUUGGAAACUGUGUAACUAGAGUACUGGAGAGGUAAGCGGAACUACAAGUGUAGAGGUGAAAUUCGUAGAUAUUUGUAGGAAUGCCGAUGGGGAAGCCAGCUUACUGGACAGAUACUGACGCUGAAGCGCGAAAGCGUGGGUAGCAAACAGGAUUAGAUACCCCUGUAGUCCCUGUCUCUUAUACA
Molecule: ribosomal RNA, 301 nt
Filed under: uncultured bacterium
Lineage: Bacteria
Description: partial 16S ribosomal RNA
Rfam family: Bacterial small subunit ribosomal RNA
Source: RNAcentral